AGAUUGAACGCUGGCGGUAUGCCUAACACAUGCAAGUCGAACGGGAGUAGCAAUACUCUAGUGGCGGACGGGUGAGGAAUACGUAGGAAUUUGCCCUUAAGUGGGGGAUAACCCGGGGAAACCCGGAUUAAUACCGCAUGACCUCGAAAGAGCAAAGUGGGGGAUCGCAAGACCUCACGCUUUUGGAGAAGCCUACGUCGGAUUAGCUAGUUGGUGAGGUAAUGGCUCACCAAGGCGACGAUCCGUAACUGGUCUGAGAGGAUGAUCAGUCACACCGGAACUGAGACACGGUCCGGACUCCUACGGGAGGCAGCAGGUGGGGAAUAGUUGGACAAUGGGCGCAAGGCCUGAUCCAGCAAUGCCGCGUGUGUGAAGAGGUCCGUUCGGUUAGUAAAGUCGUAACGUUUAAGGUAGGGAAAGAAAAACGUCGACUACUAACACUA
This 443-nucleotide ribosomal RNA is filed under the name uncultured soil bacterium. RNAcentral describes it as "bacterial SSU rRNA". It matches the Rfam family "Bacterial small subunit ribosomal RNA", at positions 26 to 470 of the family's 1533-position model. The record is from RNAcentral.